This 439-nucleotide small RNA is filed under the name Pan troglodytes (chimpanzee). RNAcentral's name for it is "retained intron". Lineage: Eukaryota; Metazoa; Chordata; Mammalia; Primates; Hominidae. The record is from RNAcentral.
CAACUGAAAAAGUUAGAAUUAUAAAAUAUUUGUUGGGAGAGCUCAAGGCCCUGGUGGCAGAACAAGAGGAUUCAGAAAUUCAGAGGUUGAUUACAGAAAUGGAGGCAUGUAUAUCUGUACUUCCAACAGUAAGUGGAAACACAGAUAUUCAAGUUGAGAUAGCACUGGCCAUGCAACCAUUAAGAAGUGAGAAUGCUCAGUUACGAAGGCAGUUGAGAAUUUUAAACCAGCAACUCAGAGAACAACAGAAAACUCAAAAACCAUCUGGUGCUGUGGAUUGCAACCUUGAAUGUAGGUAAAAGAACUUUAAGGAUUGAUAAAUUAUUUGUGGCUCUGGAAAUGUUGAUAAAGAAUUGAGCUUUUGUAAUUACCUUGAGGGGAUAAAUUUAAAAUAUUGUAGAAACAUAAGAAAAUAAAAGAUGCUAUCACUUCCCAAUAA